RNAcentral lists this ribosomal RNA (253 nucleotides) under uncultured bacterium. RNAcentral describes it as "partial 16S ribosomal RNA". It matches the Rfam family "Bacterial small subunit ribosomal RNA", at positions 524 to 776 of the family's 1533-position model. The record is from RNAcentral.
UACGGGGGGGGCAAGCGUUGUUCGGAAUUACUGGGCGUAAAGGGCUCGUAGGCGGCCAACUAAGUCAGACGUGAAAUCCCUCGGCUUAACCGGGGAACUGCAUCUGAUACUGGAUGGCUUGAGAUUGGGAGAGGGAUGCGGAAUUCCAGGUGUAGCGGUGAAAUGCGUAGAUAUCAGGAGGAACACCGGUGGCGAAGGCGGGUCUCUGGGAAGUAACUGACGCUGAGAAGCGAAAGCAUGGGUAGCAAACAGG